RNAcentral lists this ribosomal RNA (767 nucleotides) under uncultured bacterium. Its description in RNAcentral is "bacterial SSU rRNA". It matches the Rfam family "Bacterial small subunit ribosomal RNA", at positions 1 to 767 of the family's 1533-position model. The record is from RNAcentral.
CCCUUAGAGUUUGAUCCUGGCUCAGAUUGAACGCUGGCGGCAGGCCUAACACAUGCAAGUCGAGCGGAUGAGGAGAGCUUGCUCUCUGAUUCAGCGGCGGACGGGUGAGUAAUGCCUAGGAAUCUGCCUGAUAGUGGGGGACAACGUUUCGAAAGGAACGCUAAUACCGCAUACGUCCUACGGGAGAGAGCAGGGGACCUUCGGGCCUUGCGCUAUCAGAUGAGCCUAGGUCGGAUUAGCUAGUAGGUGAGGUAAUGGCUCACCUAGGCGACGGUCCGUAACUGGUCUGAGAGGAUGAUCAGUCACACUGGAACUGAGACACGGUCCAGACUCCUACGGGAGGCAGCAGUGGGGAAUAUUGGACAAUGGGCGAAAGCCUGAUCCAGCCAUGCCGCGUGUGUGAAGAAGGUCUUCGGAUUGUAAAGCACUUUAAGUUGGGAGGAAGGGCAGUAAGCUAAUACCUUGCUGUUUUGACGUUACCGACAGAAUAAGCACCGGCUAACUUCGUGCCAGCAGCCGCGGUAAUACGAAGGGUGCAAGCGUUAAUCGGAAUUACUGGGCGUAAAGCGCGCGUAGGUGGUUCAGUAAGUUGAAGGUGAAAUCCCCGGGCUCAACCUGGGAACUGCCUCCAAAACUGCUGAGCUAGAGUAUGGUAGAGGGUAGUGGAAUUUCCUGUGUAGCGGUGAAAUGCGUAGAUAUAGGAAGGAACACCAGUGGCGAAGCGACUACCUGGACUAAUACUGACACUGAGUGCGAAAGCGUGGGGA